AUGGUCAACGCGCCAAGAAGCAGCAGCGGCGUGCCUGAGGAGGAACAACUGCUGCGGAGGCUGCUAUCACUCUACCGCGCCCGACAAGCCAAACUGGAGUCCCGGGAAGCGCUUGUCAUGCAGGUGGGAGUGGACAUUGAGAAGCAUGCGGAGGAGCUCCAGAGCCGCAACCAAGAGGCCCUCCGGUCCAUUGUAGAGGAGAGGGCGCAGCUUGCCGAGGCGUGGAAGGCCUUCCUCCUCAAGAAAGCAGAAGCCGAAGAGCAACAGCGGCUUGCCGCCGAGGAGCUAUUCGUGCGGGAAGGCGAGUUGACGCAGCGGAAGGUCAAUCUGGAUAGCUAUGAGGAGGAGCUUGCCACGCGCGAGGAGACACUUGGCGGGGCCCUCAAGGAAGCGAAGGAUGCUGCUGCAGCUGCCGAGGCCGCCAAGAAAGAGCUGGAGGUGAAGGUGACGCAGCUAGAGGCCGAUCUCAAGGCGAAGAAUGAAGAGCUUGCCGUGCUCCAGCGCGAGCGCGAGAAGGACGCCCUUGCCCACGGCGAGUUGCAGGGUCGUCUCCUCGAGAGGGGCAAAGAGCUGAGCGCCGCCAAGGACUCCAAUGCCGAUCUCGAGCUGAAGCUGGCUACGCUGACUGAGACGCUGGACGGCGCCAACAAGCGGGAGGAGGACUUGAAGGAGGAGACCAAGGCCAACGAGGCGCUGCUGACGAGGGCCGCCGAAACCCAGAACACCUUCAGGGAUACUGUGGAGGUCUGGACGGAGGGCCUCGUGAAUAUUGCCGCGGUCAUUGACGAGGAGCUGGCGCAACUGGAAAUGGAGGGCUUCGGGUACUCCUCCGACGAGAACCUCCAGCCCAGCGCCAAGCUCACUCUGUUCUUCAAGGGCGUGGCGACGGCCCUCCAGCAACUCCGGGAAAGGAUCCCAAAGCUGCUGGCCGACGAGUCGCACACGAUCUGCGCCAGAGUUCUGGAGAAGGUGUUGGUGAAGGUGGCCUUCCGCAACCCAGGCCUCAACCUCACCAAUGUCCUCAAGAAGCUGCCGGUGGGUGCUGAUCUUGAAGAGCUCAAGGCCCUUGUCGCACCCAUUGUGGACAAGGUGAAUGAAGUUAGGAGGGUUGAUGGCAGCCGUGUAGACUAG
RNAcentral lists this ribosomal RNA (1131 nucleotides) under Triticum aestivum (bread wheat). RNAcentral's name for it is "partial small subunit ribosomal RNA". Lineage: Eukaryota; Viridiplantae; Streptophyta; Magnoliopsida; Poales; Poaceae. The record is from RNAcentral.